This 733-nucleotide ribosomal RNA is filed under the name uncultured archaeon. RNAcentral's name for it is "bacterial SSU rRNA". It matches the Rfam family "Archaeal small subunit ribosomal RNA", at positions 1 to 731 of the family's 1478-position model. The record is from RNAcentral.
GCCCUUUUCCGGUUGAUCCUGCCGGAGGCCAUUGCUAUCGGAGUCCGAUUUAGCCAUGCUAGUCGCACGGGUUAGACCCGUGGCGGAUAGCUCAGUAACACGUGGCCAAACUACCCUGUGGACCAGGACACUCUCGGGAAACUGAGGCUAAUCCUGGAUACAGCUUCCAGCCUGGAGUGGCGGAAGCUGGAAAUGCUCCGGCGCCACAGGAUGUGGCUGCGGCCGAUUAGGUAGACGGUGGGGUAACGGCCCACCGUGCCAGUAAUCGGUACGGGUGAUGAGAGUCAGAGCCCGGAGACGGUAUCUGAGACAAGAUACCGGGCCCUACGGAGCGCAGCAGGCGCGAAACCUUUACACUGCACGACAGUGCGAUAAGGGGACUCCGAGUGCGAGGGCAUACAGUCCUCGCUUUUCUGUACCGUAAGGUGGUACAGGAACAAGUGCUGGGCAAGACCGGUGCCAGCCGCCGCGGUAAUACCGGCAGCACGAGUGAUGGCCGAUAUUAUUGGGCCUAAAGCGUCCGUAGCCGGCCGGACAAGUCUGUUGGGAAAUCCACGCGCCCAACGCGUGGGCGUCCAGCGGAAACUGUCCGGCUUGGGGCCGGAGGACUCGAGGGGUACGUCCGGGGUAGGAGUGAAAUCCCAUAAUCCUGGACGGACCACCGGUGGCGAAAGCGCCUCGAGAAGACGGACCCGACGGUGAGGGACGAAAGCCAGGGUCUCGAACCGGAUUA